CACGUCUGCCUGGGUGUCACAAA
Molecule: non-coding RNA, 23 nt
Filed under: Arabidopsis thaliana (thale cress)
Lineage: Eukaryota; Viridiplantae; Streptophyta; Magnoliopsida; Brassicales; Brassicaceae
Source: RNAcentral